This is a non-coding RNA of Acanthosepion pharaonis, 107 nucleotides long. Lineage: Eukaryota; Metazoa; Mollusca; Cephalopoda; Sepiida; Sepiidae. The record is from the annotation of a GenBank genome assembly.
AUGGCCAUAUCUCAUUGAGACACUGGUUCUCAUCCAAUCACUUAAGUUAAGCAACAUUGAGCCUGGUCAGUACCUAGAUGGGUGACCACUUAGAAAUAACAUGUGCU